ACUUUCUAGAAACACUUUCCAGUACUUCUACUUUGUUACGACUUAUCUCACUUUAAAAUGAGAGUGACGGGCGAUAUGUACAUAUUUAAUUCUAAAUUCAAAUUAAUAUAAUAAAUUUAAUUUUACUAUUAAAUCCACCUUCAAUUUUAUAUUUCAAUAAAAUUUCCGUAUUAAAUAAAAUUUAUUGUAACUCAUUUUAACUUAAAUAUAAACUACAUAAUGAUCUGAAAUAAAUAUUUAAUUAAUAUUAAAGAUAAUUUUUUAUCUUAUAAAAUAAUCUGUUAACGACAAUAAAUAAAUUUUUAAUUUAAGUAAAAUUUCUUGAGGAUUAUCAUUUAAAAAACAAGUUCCCCUAAUUAGAUUUAAAUACCGCCAAUUUUUUUAAGUUUAAAGAAAUUAACUAUUAAUCCUCUAUUAAAAUUUUUAAAUCUAAAAUAAUAGGGUAUCUAAUCCUAGUUUAUUUAAAGAUUUCAUAAUUAAAUAAUUUUUUAUUUAACUUUAACUAAAUUAAAUAAUUUCACCUAAUUUAAUCUAAAUUAUAAAUUAUUUAAUUUAAUUAUAUUAAUUAUUUAAUAAAACAUAUUUACUUUUAUAAAAUGUAUAACCGCAAUUGCUGGCACAUUUUUCAUCUAUAAUAUAAUAAUUUAUAAUUCUAAAUUUCUUUAAUUAUUAAAUUUAAAUACUGCAAAUUAAUUUUUUAUUAAUUAAUUUUUUAAAAAUUAAAUUUUUAAUCCCACAAAAAUUCACAUGUAAAUAAAUCUUAACACAAAUAAAAAAGCCAAAAUCAAACUUUUUAAAAAAAUAAUU
Molecule: ribosomal RNA, 807 nt
Filed under: Allantus luctifer
Lineage: Eukaryota; Metazoa; Arthropoda; Insecta; Hymenoptera; Tenthredinidae
Description: 12S ribosomal RNA
Source: RNAcentral